This is a transfer RNA of Pseudomassariella vexata, 91 nucleotides long. It matches the Rfam family "tRNA". From Rfam's summary of the family: Transfer RNA (tRNA) molecules are approximately 80 nucleotides in length. Their secondary structure includes four short double-helical elements and three loops (D, anti-codon, and T loops). NCBI's taxonomy places the organism in Eukaryota, Fungi, Ascomycota, Sordariomycetes, Amphisphaeriales, Pseudomassariaceae. The record is from Rfam.
GCGUUGAUAACUCAGUUGGGAGAGUGCCAGACUGAAGUCAACUUCAGCUUGAGGAAUCUGGAAGUCACCGGUUCAAUCCCGGUUCGACGCA